ACGUAGGUGGCAAGCGUUGUCCGGAUUUAUUGGGCGUAAAGCGAACGCAGGCGGAAGAAUAAGUCAAAUGUGAAAGCCCUCGGCUUAACCGAGGAAUUGCAUCGGAAACUGUUUUUCUUGAGUGCAGAAGAGGAGAGUGGAACUCCAUGUGUAGCGGUGAAAUGCGUAGAUAUAUGGAAGAACACCAGUGGCGAAGGCGGCUCUCUGGUCUGUAACUGACGCUGAGGUUCGAAAGCAUGGGUAGCGAACAGG
RNAcentral lists this ribosomal RNA (252 nucleotides) under uncultured bacterium. RNAcentral describes it as "partial 16S ribosomal RNA". It matches the Rfam family "Bacterial small subunit ribosomal RNA", at positions 525 to 776 of the family's 1533-position model. The record is from RNAcentral.